RNAcentral lists this ribosomal RNA (604 nucleotides) under uncultured bacterium. RNAcentral describes it as "bacterial SSU rRNA". It matches the Rfam family "Bacterial small subunit ribosomal RNA", at positions 338 to 944 of the family's 1533-position model. The record is from RNAcentral.
CCUACGGGAGGCAGCAGUAGGGAAUAUUGGGCAAUGGAGGCAACUCUGACCCAGCCAUGCCGCGUGCAGGAUGAAGGCGUUAUGCGUUGUAAACUGCUUUUAUAUAGGAAGAAAGAGUUCUUGCGAGAACAGUUGACGGUACUAUAUGAAUAAGCACCGGCUAACUCCGUGCCAGCAGCCGCGGUAAUACGGAGGGUGCAAGCGUUGUCCGGAUUUAUUGGGUUUAAAGGGUGCGUAGGCGGUUUAUUAAGUCAGUGGUGAAAGACGGUCGCUCAACGAUUGCAGUGCCAUUGAUACUGGUAGACUUGAGUGAGAUUGAGGUAGCUGGAAUGGAUAGUGUAGCGGUGAAAUGCAUAGAUAUUAUCCAGAACACCAAUUGCGUAGGCAAGUUACUAAGUCUCAACUGACGCUGAGGCACGAAAGUGUGGGUAUCAAACAGGAUUAGAUACCCUGGUAGUCCACACUGUAAACGAUGAUAACUAACUGUUGGCUUUCGGGUCAGUGGUACAGAGAAAUCGUUAAGUUAUCCACCUGGGGAGUACGCCGGCAACGGUGAAACUCAAAUGAAUUGACGGCUGAGAGNGCGAGAGACACGAGGGAGAGG